GAUCCUGGCUCAGGACGGACGCUGGCGGCGCGCCUAACACAUGCAAGUCGAACGAGAGAGAAGGAGCUUGCUUCUUCGAUCGAGUGGCGAACGGGUGAGUAACGCGUGAGGAACCUGCCUCAAAGAGGGGGACAACAGUUGGAAACGACUGCUAAUACCGCAUAAGCCCACGGGUCGGCAUCGACCUGAGGGAAAAGGAGCGAUCCGCUUUGAGAUGGCCUCGCGUCCGAUUAGCUGGUUGGUG
RNAcentral lists this ribosomal RNA (244 nucleotides) under uncultured bacterium. RNAcentral describes it as "partial 16S ribosomal RNA". It matches the Rfam family "Bacterial small subunit ribosomal RNA", at positions 15 to 254 of the family's 1533-position model. The record is from RNAcentral.